CUGCCCUAGACAGGGGGAUAACUAUUGGAAACGAUAGCUAAGACCGCAUAGGUACGGACACUGCAUGGUGACCGUAUUAAAAGUGCCUCAAAGCACUGGUAGAGGAUGGACUUAUGGCGCAUUAGCUGGUUGGCGGGGUAACGGCCCACCAAGGCGACGAUGCGUAGCCGACCUGAGAGGGUGACCGGCCACACUGGGACUGAGACACGGCCCAGACUCCUACGGGAGGCAGCAGUAGGGAAUUUUCGACAAUGGGGGAAACCCUGACCGAGCAACGCCGCGUGAAGGAAGAAGGUUUUCGGAUUGUAAACUUCUGUUAUAAAGGAAGAACGGCGGCUACAGGAAAUGGUAGCCGAGUGACGGUACCUUAUUAGAAAGCCACGGCUAACUACGUGCCAGCAGCCGCGGUAAUACGUAGGUGGCAAGCGUUAUCCGGAAUUAUUGGGCGUAAAGAGGGAGCAGGCGGCAGCAAGGGUCUGUGGUGAAAGCCUGAAGCUUAACUUCAGUAAGCCAUAGAAACCAGGCAGCUAGAGUGCAGGAGAGGAUCGUGGAAUUCCAUGUGUAGCGGUGAAAUGCGUAGAUAUAUGGAGGAACACCAGUGGCGAAGGCGACGAUCUGGCCUGCAACUGACGCUCAGUCCCGAAAGCGUGGGGAGCAAAUAGGAUUAGAUACCCUAGUAGUCCACGCCGUANACGAUGAGUACUAAGUGUUGGAUGUCAAAGUUCAGUGCUGCAGUUAACGCAAUAAGUACUCCGCCUGAGUAGUACGUUCGCAAGNAUGAAACUCAAAGGAAUUGACGGGGGCCCGCAC
Molecule: ribosomal RNA, 810 nt
Filed under: uncultured bacterium
Lineage: Bacteria
Description: bacterial SSU rRNA
Rfam family: Bacterial small subunit ribosomal RNA
Source: RNAcentral